GAUGAACGCUGGCGGCGUGCUUAACACAUGCAAGUCGAACGGAGAAAGGGUAGCUUGCUAUCUUUCUUAGUGGCGGACGGGUGAGUAACGCGUGGGUAACCUGCCCUUUGCAGGGGGAUAACAGUGAGAAAUCACUGCUAAUACCGCAUACCAACUUCUUUCGCAUGAAAGAAGUUUGAAAGAUUUAUCGGCAAAGGAUGGACCCGCGUUGGAUUAGCUAGUUGGUGAGAUAACAGCCCACCAAGGCAACGAUCCAUAGCCGGCCUGAGAGGGUGAACGGCCACACUGGGACUGAGACACGGCCCAGACUCCUACGGGAGGCAGCAGUGGGGAAUAUUGCACAAUGGGCGAAAGCCUGAUGCAGCGACGCCGCGUGAAGGAUGAAGGUCUUCGGAUUGUAAACUUCUAUCAGCAGGGAAGAAAGGGCUUAUAGCCUAUGACGGUACCUGACUAAGAAGCCCCGGCUAACUACGUG
This 475-nucleotide ribosomal RNA is filed under the name uncultured bacterium. RNAcentral's name for it is "bacterial SSU rRNA". It matches the Rfam family "Bacterial small subunit ribosomal RNA", at positions 28 to 507 of the family's 1533-position model. The record is from RNAcentral.